This 443-nucleotide ribosomal RNA is filed under the name uncultured bacterium. RNAcentral describes it as "partial 16S ribosomal RNA". It matches the Rfam family "Bacterial small subunit ribosomal RNA", at positions 338 to 795 of the family's 1533-position model. The record is from RNAcentral.
CCUACGGGGGGCAGCAGUGGGGAAUAUUGGGCAAUGGAGGCAACUCUGACCCAGCAACGCCGCGUGAAUGAUGAAGGUCUUCGGAUUGUAAAGUUCUUUUCUAAGGGAAGAAGAAAGUGACGGUACCUUAGGAAUAAGCCUCGGCUAACUACGUGCCAGCAGCCGCGGUAAUACGUAGGAGGGAAGCGUUAUCCGGAAUGACUGGGCGGAAAGGGAGCGUAGGUGGUUUGACAAGUUAGUAGCGAAACUCCGGAGCUCAACUUCGGAACUACUACCAAAACUGUCGGACUUGAGUGCAGGAGGGGCAAAUGGAAUUCCUAGUGUAGCGGUGGAAUGCGUAGAUAUUAGGAGGAACACCAGUGGCGAAGGCGAUUUGCUGGACUGUAACUGACACUGAGGCACGAAAGCGUGGGGAGCAAACAGGAUUAGAUACCCCAGUAGUC